AUUCAGAUUCAAACACUGGAGCGGAGGGAGUUGCCAUGGAAACGGGGCGAUCGACAACACUGGCCAGCUGCAUGCUCCGUGUCUCCCUGCUGUUUUCACUGAUUUUGAAAUGGUUUAGUGUUUUCGAACAAGUCCGUUAGAAUCUUAACUGUUAUCAGAGGAGAUUCUUCUAGUGCUGGAUGGCCUUCUGCAUCCCAGAGUCUGAGCCAGCCUCCUGUCCAACAACAUCUCCAAGGCACACUGAACCAUAUGACUAGCAGGUUAACCCCAAACAUACACUAAUGCUAUCCAUACCAAUUUCUGAAAUAAUAUUACAAUAUAAAAUAGCAGUUUUCUUUGAAAUGUAAUUUAUUUCUGUGAUGUGCAGCUGUAUUUUCAUCAUCAUUACUCCAGUCUUCAGUGUUACAUGAUCUUCAGAAAUCAGAAUAAUAUAAUAAUUUACUGCUCAAAAACAUUUCUGAUUAUCAUCAAUGUUGAAAACAGUUGUGCUGCUCAAUAUAUGAAUGUGUUAGAAUUCUUUGAUAAAUAGAAAUUUCUUCUUGACACUCACUUUUGAUUAAUUUCAUGCGUCCUUGCUGAAUAAAAAUAUGAAUUUCUUUUUAAAAAUGUAGUGUACAUUACCAUUUAAUGGUUUGGGGUCUAAAUAACAAUGAAGCUUUAAAAUAAAUAAAUGAACUCUAUGAUGUUAUAAACUGUUUACACAAAAAUAUAAAACAGAGCUGUUUUUUAACAUUCAUAUUUAUCAGAAGUGUUUCUUUGGCAAAAAGUAGCAUAUUAUAAUGAUUUCUGGAGGAUCAUAUGACACUAAAGACUGAAGUAAUGAUGCUGAAAAAUCAGCUUUGAUCAUAGCAAUCAAUUGACCCUUCGCAAAACAACCCACCCUUCUUAAAUACUGUUGCUAUGUCUGACAAGCCAUGCUGCUCUCACAGUACACACCUUGUUCUCACACAGCAAAAAAGACAUCGUGGACCAAAGAGGAAACUGAUGACACAGAGACAGAAGAAGACAGAGAAGGUCACUUCUGGUAUGAAACAAUCCUCAUCUUCUGUGUCUGAAUUGAACAGCUGGGCAACAGCUUUUGAACAGCUUUCGUCAUUAAACAUGCCGGGUUCCCUCUCAUCAUGGUUGAUCACUGCCAG
Carassius carassius (crucian carp) is the source of this 1139-nucleotide long non-coding RNA. RefSeq lists it as uncharacterized. The record is from RefSeq and is a predicted model, not a curated record. NCBI's taxonomy places the organism in Eukaryota, Metazoa, Chordata, Actinopteri, Cypriniformes, Cyprinidae. The transcript is spliced from 4 exons.